UACUGUUUAUGAUGAUUUGAUUUUAUCAAUGGGAAUCUCUCUGAUUAAGAAUGAGGGAGUAUCUUUGUACUGACUCGGUG
Small nucleolar RNA from Spea bombifrons (plains spadefoot toad), 80 nucleotides. RefSeq annotates it as small nucleolar RNA SNORD79. Lineage: Eukaryota; Metazoa; Chordata; Amphibia; Anura; Pelobatidae. The transcript has a single exon. The record is from RefSeq and is a predicted model, not a curated record.